This 442-nucleotide ribosomal RNA is filed under the name uncultured bacterium. Its description in RNAcentral is "partial 16S ribosomal RNA". It matches the Rfam family "Bacterial small subunit ribosomal RNA", at positions 338 to 795 of the family's 1533-position model. The record is from RNAcentral.
CCUACGGGAGGCAGCAGUAGGGAAUCUUUCACAAUGGGCGAAAGCCUGAUGGAGCAACGCCGCGUGCAGGAUGAAGGCCUUCGGGUUGUAAACUGCUUUUAUCAGCGAGAAAUAUGACGGUAACUUAUGAAUAAGGCUCGGCUAACUACGUGCCAGCAGCCGCGGUCAUACGUAGGAUCCGAGCAUUAUCCGGAGUGACUGGGUGUAAAGAGUUGCGUAGGUGGCAUAAUAAGUAGCUAGUGAAAUCUGGUGGCUCAACCAUUCAGACUAUUAGCUAAACUGUUAAGCUCGAGACCGUUAGAGGUAACUGGAAUUUCUAGUGUAGGAGUGAAAUCCGUAGAUAUUAGAAGGAACACCAAUAGCGUAGGCAGGUUGCUGGGACGGUUCUGACACUAAGGCACGAAAGCGUAGGGAGCAAACGGGAUUAGAUACCCGGGUAGUC